GACGAACGCUGGCGGCGUGCUUAACACAUGCAAGUCGAACGGUGAAGCGCCUUCCUUUUUGGUGGGUGUGGAUGAGUGGCGAACGGGUGAGUAACACGUGAGUAACCUGCCCCCUUCUUCUGGAUAACCGCAUGAAAGUGUGGCUAAUACGGGAUAUUCUGGGUCUGUCGCAUGAUGGGUCUGGGAAAGAUAUUGUUUCGGUGGGGGAUGGGCUCGCGGCCUAUCAGCUUGUUGGUGGGGUGAUGGCCUACCAAGGCGGUGACGGGUAGCCGGCCUGAGAGGGUGGACGGACACACUGGGACUGAGACACGGCCCAGACUCCUACGGGAGGCAGCAGUGGGGAAUAUUGCACAAUGGGCGCAAGCCUGAUGCAGCGACGCCGCGUGAGGGAUGGAGGCCUUCGGGUUGUGAACCUCUUUCGCCAGUGAAGCAGGCCUGCCUCGUUUGUGGGUGGGUUGACAGUAGCUGGAGAAGAAGCGCCGGCUAACUACGUG
RNAcentral lists this ribosomal RNA (494 nucleotides) under uncultured bacterium. Its description in RNAcentral is "partial 16S ribosomal RNA". It matches the Rfam family "Bacterial small subunit ribosomal RNA", at positions 28 to 507 of the family's 1533-position model. The record is from RNAcentral.